Molecule: long non-coding RNA, 1530 nt
Filed under: Chrysolophus pictus (golden pheasant)
Lineage: Eukaryota; Metazoa; Chordata; Aves; Galliformes; Phasianidae
Description: lncRNA (ENSCPIG00010001347.1)
Source: RNAcentral
AUGGGCGGGCGCGGAGCUGAGCUGCUCGGAGGGGAGAGGGUGAAUAAAGGAGGGCUGUUGUUCCAGAGCUGUGGUCGUGUGGUUCUUUUCCCCUUCCUUUGCCUCUUCCUUUUUUUCCCUUUCUUUAUUUCCUUCCUUUUCUUCCUUUUCUCCUCUUCCUUCCUCUUCCUUCUUCCCUUCUUCCUUUUUUCCUCUUCCUUUUCUCUUCCUCCUUUUCCCCUCUUCCUUUUCUCCUCUUCCUUUUUCCCUUCCUUCUCCCCUCUUCAUUCUCUGUUCUUCCUUCUUCUCUCUUCCUUCUUCCCUUCUUCCUUUUCUCCUCUUCCUUUUCUCCUCUUCCUUCUUCCUUUCCUUCUCCCCUCUUCAUUCUCUGUUCUUCCUUUUCUCUUCUUCCUUCUUCCCUUCUUCCUUUCCUUCCCUUCCUUUUCUCCCUUUCCUUCUCUCCCCUUCCUUCUCUCCCCUUCCUUCUUCCCUUCCUUUUCCCUUCUUCCUUCUUCCCUUCUUCCUUUUCUCCUUCCUUUUCUCCUUCCUUUUCUCCUUCCUUUUCUCCUUCCUUUUCUCCUCUCCCUUCUUCCCUUCCUUUUCCCUUCUUCCUUCUUCCCUUCUUCCUUUUCUCCUUCCUUUUCUCCUCUCUCUUCUCCCCUUUCUUUUCUCCUCUUCCUUUUCCCCUCUUCCUUCUUCCUUUUCUCCUCUUCCUUCUUCCCUUCUUCCUUUUCUCCUUCCUUUUCUCCUUCCUUUUCUCUUUCCUUUUCUCCUCUUCCUUUUCUCCUCUUCCUUUUCUCCUCUUUCUUCUUCCCUUCCUUCUUCCCUUCCUUCUUCCCUUCCUUCUCUCCCCUUCCUUUUCUCCCCUUCCUUCUCCCCGUUUCCUCCUCAUUACCUCUCCUUUCCCUUUUCCCUCAUCUCCCUUCUCCCCUUCACUCCUUUCCUCUCCUUUCCUCGCCUUUCCUCGCCUUUCCUCUCCUCUCCUUUCCUCUCCUCUCCUUUCUUCUCCUCUCCUUACCUCUCCUCUCCUCACCUCUCCUUUCCUCUCCCCUCCUUUCCUCUCCUUUUCUCUCCUCUCCUUUCCAAUCCUCUCCUCUCCUUUCCUCCCCUCUCCUUUCCUCUCUUCUCCUCUCCUCUCUCCUCUCCUCUUCUCCUUUCCCUUCCUUCUCUUUUUCCUUCCCUUUAUCCUUCCCUUCUUCCUCUCCUCUCCUCUCCUCUCCUCCCUUCCUUCUCCCCUUCCUUUACCUUCUUCCCUUCCUUCCUUUCUUCUUCCUUUUCUUUUUCCCUUCCUUUUUUCCUUGUUUUUCCUUCCUUUUUUCCUUGUUUUUCCUUCCUUUUUUUCUUUCCUUUUUCCCCUUUCCUUUCCCCCCUUCCUUUUCCCUCCCUUUUCCCUUCUUUUUUCCCCAUUUUUCCUUUUCCCCUUCAUUUUUCCCUCUUUUUUUCCUUUUUUCCCCCUAUUUCCCAUUUUUCCCCUUUCUCCCCACACCUUUUCUCCCUUUUUCCCCUUCCCCUCUUUUUCCCUUUUCCUCCCCCCCCAAUUCGCAUUCCACA